UACAGAGGUCUCAAGCGUUGUUCGGAAUCACUGGGCGUAAAGGGCGCGUAGGCGGCCUUCUAAGUCGAACGUGAAAUCCCCGGGCUCAACCCGGGAACUGCGUCCGAUACUGGGAGGCUUGAAUCCGGGAGAGGGAUGUGGAAUUCCAGGUGUAGCGGUGAAAUGCGUAGAUAUCUGGAGGAACACCGGUGGCGAAGGCGGCAUCCUGGACCGGUAUUGACGCUGAGGCGCGAAAGCCAGGGGAGCAAACGGG
This 253-nucleotide ribosomal RNA is filed under the name uncultured bacterium. RNAcentral's name for it is "partial 16S ribosomal RNA". It matches the Rfam family "Bacterial small subunit ribosomal RNA", at positions 524 to 776 of the family's 1533-position model. The record is from RNAcentral.